GAUGAACGCUGGCGGCAUGCCUUACACAUGCAAGUCGAACGGCAGCACGGGAGCAAUCCUGGUGGCGAGUGGCGAACGGGUGAGUAAUAUAUCGGAACGUGCCCAGUCGUGGGGGAUAACGUAGCGAAAGCUACGCUAAUACCGCAUACGAUCUAUGGAUGAAAGCGGGGGAUCGCAAGACCUCGCGCGAUUGGAGCGGCCGAUAUCAGAUUAGGUAGUUGGUGGGGUAAAAGCCUACCAAGCCUUCGAUCUGUAGCUGGUCUGAGAGGACGACCAGCCACACUGGAACUGAGACACGGUCCAGACUCCUACGGGAGGCAGCAGUGGGGAAUUUUGGACAAUGGGCGCAAGCCUGAUCCAGCCAUGCCGCGUGAGUGAAGAAGGCCUGGUUGUAAGCGUACUUCUAGCUGGAGUGAAACGGUGACGGC
This 428-nucleotide ribosomal RNA is filed under the name uncultured bacterium. RNAcentral's name for it is "bacterial SSU rRNA". It matches the Rfam family "Bacterial small subunit ribosomal RNA", at positions 28 to 460 of the family's 1533-position model. The record is from RNAcentral.